Molecule: long non-coding RNA, 379 nt
Organism: Cygnus atratus (black swan)
Lineage: Eukaryota; Metazoa; Chordata; Aves; Anseriformes; Anatidae
Exons: 4
Source: RefSeq, a predicted model, not a curated record
GUGCACGUGCAAGGGCUGGGCAAGGUGAUCAGGGUCCCUGCAGGGUGAGGAAAGGCCAAGUGCUACGCAGUGAUGCUCAGCUCUCUGGAUCUUCACGGACAGAGGAAAACGUGCCCUGAGCAGUGUCUGAGCAAAGCUUUGUUGGCAUGACUCAUCCACCCUUGGGGUUUCUCCAGAUCUGACAGAGAAGUUUUCCCUGCACCUCCCGAGCAAUUGCCCUAAAGACCCCGAGGAUGAAGCACAGAAGAGCCCUGAUAUUCUCCCACGGACUGACUCUACCAGGGACUCUCUGGAUCUCUCGAUGGAUGAUAUUUCUGGCAAAGAGCAAACAUCUCAUCAAGCAACUAUUUCCAGAUUCACUGUGCGCAGAUGCAGAUUU